Molecule: ribosomal RNA, 443 nt
Filed under: uncultured bacterium
Lineage: Bacteria
Description: partial 16S ribosomal RNA
Rfam family: Bacterial small subunit ribosomal RNA
Source: RNAcentral
CCUACGGGAGGCAGCAGUGGGGAAUAUUGCACAAUGGGCGAAAGCCUGAUGCAGCAACGCCGCGUGAAGGAAGAAGGGUUUCGGCUCGUAAACUUCUAUCAACAGGGACGAAAGAAAUGACGGUACCUGAAUAAGAAGCCCCGGCUAACUACGUGCCAGCAGCCGCGGUAAUACGUAGGGGGCAAGCGUUAUCCGGAAUUACUGGGUGUAAAGGGUGAGUAGGCGGCAUGGUAAGCCAGAUGUGAAAGCCUUGGGCUUAACCCGAGGAUGGCAUUUGGAACGAUCAAGCUAGAGUACAGGAGAGGAAAGCGGAAGUCCGAGGGUAGCGGUGAAAGGCGUAGAGAGUGGGAGGAACACCAGUGGCGAAGGCGGCUUUCUGGAAUGAAACUGACGUGGAGGCGCGAAAGCGUGGGGAGCAAACAGGAGUAGAUACCCUUGUAGUC